ACACUCUGUAGGUGCUGAACGUUCCCCAUAGAGAUACAUUGAUUCAAUGCAUCUCUAUGAGGAGAUGCUAAUUGGAGUGGCGUUUUGCAGCCAAUCCUAUGGCAAAGCAUUGGAUUGGCUGAGAUCAUCAAGCUUGAUGAUCUCAGCUAUAGAGGCAGGGCCAGUCGAGGGAGACCAGCACGCUGCGUGGGGGGGAAAAAAAGGUGA
Molecule: non-coding RNA, 207 nt
Organism: Pelobates cultripes (western spadefoot toad)
Lineage: Eukaryota; Metazoa; Chordata; Amphibia; Anura; Pelobatidae
Source: the annotation of a GenBank genome assembly